GACGAACGCUGGCGGCGUGCUUAACACAUGCAAGUCGAACGGAAAGGCCCUGCUUGCAGGGUGCUCGAGUGGCGAACGGGUGAGUAACACGUGGGUGAUCUGCCCCUUACUUUGGGAUAAGCCUGGGAAACUGGGUCUAAUACUGGAUAGGACCAUGCUGUAGGUGGUGUGGUGUAAAGAUUAGUUUCGGUAAGGGAUGAGCUCGCGGCCUAUCAGCUUGUUGGUGGGGUAAUGGCCUACCAAGGCGUCGACGGGUAGCCGGCCUGAGAGGGUGGACGGCCACAUUGGGACUGAGAUACGGCCCAGACUCCUACGGGAGGCAGCAGUGGGGAAUAUUGCACAAUGGGCGCAAGCCGGAUGCAGCGACGCCGCGUGGGGGAUGACGGCCUUCGGGUUGUAAACUCCUUUCAGCCAUGACGAAGCCCUUGUGGUGACGGUAGUGGUAGAAGAAGCACCGGCUAACUACGUG
This 469-nucleotide ribosomal RNA is filed under the name uncultured bacterium. RNAcentral describes it as "partial 16S ribosomal RNA". It matches the Rfam family "Bacterial small subunit ribosomal RNA", at positions 28 to 507 of the family's 1533-position model. The record is from RNAcentral.